CCUACGGGAGGCAGCAGUGGGGAAUAUUGGACAAUGGGGGGAACCCUGAUCCAGCCAUGCCGCGUGUGUGAAGAAGGCCCUCGGGUUGUAAAGCACUUUCAGUGAGGAAGAACGCCUGGUGGUUAAUACCCAUCAGGAAAGACAUCACUCACAGAAGAAGCACCGGCUAACUCCGUGCCAGCAACCGCGGUAAUACGGAGGGUGCGAGCGUUAAUCGGAAUUACUGGGCGUAAAGCGCGCGUAGGUGGCUUGAUAAGCCGGUUGUGAAAGCCCCGGGCUCAACCUGGGAACGGCAUCCGGAACUGUCAAGCUAGAGUGCAGGAGAGGAAGGUAGAAUUCCCGGUGUAGCGGUGAAAUGCGUAGAGAUCGGGAGGAAUACCAGUGGCGAAGGCGGCCUUCUGGACUGACACUGACACUGAGGUGCGAAAGCGUGGGUAGCAAACAGGAUUAGAUACCCUGGUAGUC
This 465-nucleotide ribosomal RNA is filed under the name Vreelandella stevensii. Its description in RNAcentral is "partial 16S ribosomal RNA". It matches the Rfam family "Bacterial small subunit ribosomal RNA", at positions 338 to 795 of the family's 1533-position model. The record is from RNAcentral. Lineage: Bacteria; Pseudomonadati; Pseudomonadota; Gammaproteobacteria; Oceanospirillales; Halomonadaceae.